RNAcentral lists this unclassified non-coding RNA (334 nucleotides) under soil metagenome. Its description in RNAcentral is "partial contains 5.8S ribosomal RNA, internal transcribed spacer 2, and large subunit ribosomal RNA". The stretch from base 1 to 120 matches the Rfam family "5.8S ribosomal RNA", at positions 35 to 154 of the family's 154-position model. The record is from RNAcentral.
GAUGAAGAACGUAGCGAAAUGCGAUAAGUAAUGUGAAUUGCAGAAUUCAGUGAAUCAUCGAAUCUUUGAACGCGCAUUGCGCCGGCCAGUAUUCUGGCGAGCAUGCCUGUUCGAGCGUCAUUUCAACCAUCAAGCCCCAGGCUUGUGUUGGAGCCCUGCGGCUGCCGCAGCCUCCCAAAACCAGUGGCGGGCUCGCUAUCACACCGAGUGCAGUAGUUUACUCUUCGCUCAGGGCGUGUGGCGGGUGCUAGCCGUGAAACCCCCAACUUCUCAAGGUUGACCUCGGAUCAGGUAGGAAUACCCGCUGAACUUAAGCAUAUCAAUAAGCGGAGGA